AGCAGAGCGACACAUCUGUGUCCGAAACAUUGGCAGAAUUCAGCGGGCUCAAAGCCCGGUGACGUCACCGCCUCCCUCCACGGCGCUCACGCUCUCCAACGCCUUCCCGUCUCGUGUCGCGGCCUCCAGCGCGUGCAACGGCCACGUGGGAAAACCCGCAAAGGUCAUUCCCAACAGCCAAAGCACGACCACUUUCGGGAGUCAUGAGGGGCCUCCCACAGGAAUCCGUCUUGAUGUAAAGACCGACGAAACGUCCGUCCAGCUCCAGUCCUUCGCUUUCCCACACUUCCAGCCCGGAGCGGCCGCUGGCAAAGCCAACACCUCUACGCGUCCCACCCUUGCUGCCAAAAAGAUGCCAACCUCUGCCGGGUGUGUGGUUGUUUUAGAAAGGGAAGCCCACCCGCUGCCCUCGGGGGGGGCGACACUGUCGUGUCAACACGGUCUCACGGAUCAGUGCCAGCUGAUCCCUGGUGCAGAACAGUGCGGUGAGGUGGUGGCAGCCAACGCUUUCCUCCGCCGACUGCACUGAAGAAACAACACCGGCGGCUGGGCCCACGCCAGCUUCCUGCCACCCGGUCAAC
This is a long non-coding RNA of Gasterosteus aculeatus aculeatus (three-spined stickleback), 581 nucleotides long. NCBI's taxonomy places the organism in Eukaryota, Metazoa, Chordata, Actinopteri, Perciformes, Gasterosteidae. The record is from Ensembl.